AUGCUUGUCUCGGCAGCUCAUACACUAAAAUUGGAAUGAUACAGAGGUUAGCGUGGCCCCUACACAAGGAUGGCACCCAAACUCAUGAAGCGUUCCAUAGUUUU
Small nuclear RNA from Nycticebus coucang (slow loris), 104 nucleotides. The record is from RefSeq and is a predicted model, not a curated record. Lineage: Eukaryota; Metazoa; Chordata; Mammalia; Primates; Lorisidae.